Molecule: ribosomal RNA, 580 nt
Filed under: bacterium
Lineage: Bacteria
Description: bacterial SSU rRNA
Rfam family: Bacterial small subunit ribosomal RNA
Source: RNAcentral
UUUAUAGAGAGUUUGAUCCUGGCUCAGGAUGAACGCUGGCGGCGUGGAUAAGGCAUGCAAGUCGAACGAAAUAUAUUAAUUUAAUAUAUUUAGUGGCAGACGGGGUAGUAACACGUAGGAACUCACCCCAGAGACGGGCAUAACUAGCCGAAAGGUUAGCUAAUUCCCGAUGGCAUCCGCCAUAGCUUUAGCGAAGGCGGAUUAAAGUCGCAAGACACUCUGGGAAAGGCCUGCGGGCUAUCAGCUUGUUGGCGAGGUAACGGCUCACCAAGGCUAUGACGGCUAGGGGGAGUGAGAGCUUGACCCCCACCAAUGGAACUGCGACACGGUCCAUACACCUACGGGUGGCUGCAGUCGAGAAUAUUCGACAAUGGGCGAAAGCCUGAUCGAGCGACGCCGCGUGCAGGAAGAAGGACUUCGGUCCGUAAACUGCUUUUCCAUGGGAAAAAGUAAUUGAUUGUACCGUGGGAAUAAGUGGCGGCAAACUUCGUGCCAGCAGCAGCGGUAAUACGAAGGCCACAAGCGUUAUCCGGAUUUAUUGGGCGUAAAGAGCGCGUAGGAUUCCUGAUACAUCUUUGGU